CCCUUAGAUGUUCUGGGCCGCACGCGCGCUACACUGAUCGGUGCAACAAGCAUCCGUCCUUGGCCGACAGGCCCGGGCAAUCUUUGAACGCCGGUCGUGAUGGGGAUAGACCUUUGCAAUUUUUGGUCUUCAACGAGGAAUUCCUAGUAAACGCAAGUCAUCAACUUGCAUUGAUUACGUCCCUGCCCUUUGUACACACCGCCCGUCGCACCUACCGAUUGAAUGGUCCGGUGAAACCUCCGGAUUGGCGCGUGCCCUCGGGCGCCGCCGAGAAGUUGGCUAAACCUUACCAUUUAGAGGAAGGUGAAGUCGUAACA
This 317-nucleotide ribosomal RNA is filed under the name uncultured eukaryote. RNAcentral describes it as "partial 18S ribosomal RNA". It matches the Rfam family "Eukaryotic small subunit ribosomal RNA", at positions 1470 to 1796 of the family's 1831-position model. The record is from RNAcentral.